GCUGGGCAUGGUGGCGCAUGCCUGUAAUCCCAGGUACUCGGGAGGCUGAGGCAGGAGAAUCGCUUGAACCUGGGAGGCGGAGGUUGCAGUGAGCCGAGAUCGCGCCACUGCACUCCAGCCUGGGUGACAGAGCAAGACUCCGUCUCAA
RNAcentral lists this non-coding RNA (148 nucleotides) under Pan troglodytes (chimpanzee). Lineage: Eukaryota; Metazoa; Chordata; Mammalia; Primates; Hominidae. The record is from Rfam by way of RNAcentral.